GGAGUUGUGGCUCAGUGGUAGCACAUCUGCUUGGUGUGAAGAAAGGUCCAGGUUCAAUCCUGGACAUCUCCA
RNAcentral lists this transfer RNA (72 nucleotides) under Sphaerodactylus townsendi. RNAcentral's name for it is "tRNA-Thr". It matches the Rfam family "tRNA". From Rfam's summary of the family: Transfer RNA (tRNA) molecules are approximately 80 nucleotides in length. The record is from RNAcentral. Lineage: Eukaryota; Metazoa; Chordata; Lepidosauria; Squamata; Sphaerodactylidae.